UGUGUUCCAUAUCAUAUUCACUCUCCUCAAUGCCUUUCAGGUAAGUUCCACUCUACAGGGCUCUCAGGAAGCAUCUGUACUGGUGGGACAAAUUAAUGAUAGCAACACAAACAAGGGUAGGAAUGGGGAAGGAUUUUAGUUCAGAGCCCUAAAGAGAAGUAAUUACAAGCACUCGGUGAUAUAGAAUGGACACAUUCCUCAGCUCCCAUGGAACCUCAUACCUCUUAUCACUGGUAUUAUAACUUAGUUGCAUGCAUGACUCUCUUUGAAAAGCCCUGAUAAUACACGUAAGAGGAAAGUCCCUUCCCUACACAGGAUUUUGCUAUUUAUCCAACAUUAUCAGGAUGCCACCUAUUAUCUCCUAAUUGAAAAUACCACUAUAAAACCAAGUAAUCUCUCCAGUUAAAUUUCUACAAGCAUUAAAUGAACUCUAUCUUUGUGGGGUCAGGGAUAACAUCUAUCUCACUUAUCGCUGUAUCCCUAGUAGUACCUAAAAAAGAACUUGACCCAGAGUAGGUGCUCGAUAACCAUCAGCUAAAUAAAAUGAGUGCUAUGUACCACAUAGUAAGUUCCCUAGAAACAUUUGCUGAAGAAGGAAGAAUGAAUGUCCUAUGUAAGGUAGACAUUCUGCUGUAUUAUACUAAAAUGAAAAAGACACACUCUUGGGGUGCGUGGGUGGCUCAGUCGGUUAGAUGUCCAACUCUUGGUUUCAGCUCAGGUCACGAUCUCACAGUGUCGUAAGUUUGAGCCCCACAUUGAGAGCAGAGCCUGCUUGGGAUUCUCUGUCUCCCUCUCUCUCUGCCCCUCCCCCCACUCGUGCUGUCUCUGUCUCUCCCAAAAUAAAUAAAUAAACUUUAAAAAAAAAAAAGACACACUCUUUGCUCUCCCAUAGCACAUAGCACAUAGCACAUAAAUAACUAUAGAAUAAGUCCAAUUGUUAGAAGAACUUUAGCAGAGGUACAGACAACAAGCGUUUGGAGCACAGGGAAGGGAAUGCUUAAUUCUGAUUCAACCAGUAGGUGGGUGGUAAGCAUAGGUCCUCACGAGCUGGUGAGGGGGCAGUGGGUCUGGAGGUGAAGUUGAAACAUUGCCCCGAUGCUCAUGCCAGAUCCUAACUUCUGCUAGGCCCGUGGCCUCAAACUAUAUGGCUCAUAUCUAAUGAAGUUUACAGUAUGGCUUGACUACAAGGGACUGGUAAUGUCACCCCAUGCCCCAGGUCCUCAUCACAAUUAUGUGAACCCUACGGAGACGUAAGAGAUGUACUUAACAGCAUAGCCAAUAGGACCUCCAGUUCACAAAGGGGCGGGGAUAAGGAAAUAGAAUGAUAUCCUUAUAACAUUAUAACAUUUAAGGUCUCUUGGUGUGGACCUACUGAAUCCCUUUGAACAUUAUUAUCUACCAGACCCAUUCCAUAAACACAGAAGUGGGAAGACGUAGUACGAAUUCAUUGCCGGGGUAACAAUACUUCCUAUGUUGCCGGACAAUAGAACAUGAUUAAAAUCGUAUUGAAUUAUAAUCAUAAUCUUAAACCAUAAAAUCAUAAGAUUAAAAUGUACUUCCUGCCAAUUCUUUUUUCAGGGGCUAUUCAUUUUACUCUUUGGGUGCCUCUGGGAUCAGAAGGUAAGAACAAUCACAGUUUCGUGCUCCCAGAGAAGUCCAGUGUUUGUGGCAUGUUGAACUUACGAGGGCUUCCUUUAAACAACUGCAGGUGCAGGAAGCCUUGCUGAAGAAGUUUUCACUGUCAAGAUGGUCUUCACAGCACUCAAAGGCAAGUCCUUCCUUUGCAGGGACUUUGGCAAACCCUUCCCUCUCCACAGCCUGAUUCACCAUAGAUUAUUCCACUGCUUGUGCGUCUCACCUGAUUCUGCCUAUUAAAGUCAGCCACGGAGCUUUCACUAAGACGCUGUCCCACAUCUUUAAGUAGGGAUCAGGUAGCACAGACAAUACCAGCUGGAGGUCAAAAAUCCAAGUUCAGUGAGAAACAAGAAGUUUUCUGGGGACAUGGAAGACAAUAGAGAACAGAAUGUGAGGAAUAACGCAGAGAUUGUUGGUAGUUCUUUUUGGAAAAUAACGAUUGCGCUCAGAGUUGACUGUUUUCACACAUCAGAAAACACUAAACCCUAUAUAACAGUAAAACACAUAUUUGAAAGUUAUUUUCCCAAUUCUGGUGAGAGUCCGAUGUUUCAAGGUGGCCCUCCUACUUGAUUUGUUUGAACUUGAAAUUCAUGCUCUUUCAGGCUCACUUUCAAGCGGAAUGAGAGAUGCAGGCAGUGACCACUAGAGGGCAGCAAACAAACCAUCAGAGAGAUCAAAAGAGGGCUUUGGUGGAGCACCUGGGUGGUCCAGUCAGUUGAGCGUCAGGCUUUGGCUCAGGGCGUGAUCUCACAGUUUGUGAGUUCGAGCCCGGCGUCCGGCUCCGUGCUGACAGCGCGGAGCCUGGAGCCUGCUUCGGAGUCUGUGCCUCCCUCACUCUCCCCAACUCAUGCUCUGCCUCUUUCUCUCUCAGGAAUAAAUAAACGUUAAAAAAAAAAAUUAAAAAAAAGAGGAAUCAAAACAGGGCUUUGGUUUAACAUUUGCUUGCUAAUUGUCUUUUUUUCUUUUUCAGUCAACAUCCCUCGGUUCAUCUACACCAGUAUUUUCUAUGAGUUCUCCGAUAUCAAGAAGAUUUAACAAUUUGUUUGGUAAAACAGGUACGUAGUGACCUCUAGCUCACUCCCUGGGGUACUUAGUUUGGGUUGACUUGAGCAAAUUUGCCCUGAUGCGGACUCUCACACCCCUACUUUCCCACUUCGUGGCGUUUACCAUGAACAGCCUCAUUUGGGCCAGAGGUUAAAUACAGGAACUCGCUUCUAUUUCCCAAGCCACCAGCAGGUUGUAGAGAGAGAGCAACUGCCUUCAGCGGGCAACUGAUAAUAACUUAAAAAGGAUAAGAUUUGGAGAAUCUAGACAAGCCUGUGGAGAGCUGUCAAAACCGUAUCCACCACAAAAGUGGGAACUGUAAAUUGCUAGCCUUGUCAAAUGCGGAGUUCAUUGCUAUUCGUGUUAAAUAAGAAUAGGCAGGUCAUGUUUAUGGGUUAAGGUACGGCAAAAAAAUAUAUUUAGAAAACUACUACAGGAUCACAUGCUGUGGAUUUCUUUUCCCUGUUUUUUUCUUUUUUUUGGGUGGAGGGGGGUGUGCUUGUUUUAUAUAUGGGCAUGUAUAAAACCGUGCAUGCAUAGAGGAGGAAUCACCCAAGUUAGCUAUUCUGCUGGGAACAUGCACAGUUAAAUUGCUACCUUGGAGGUAUAAAGUCAAUAAUGUGAAUGACUUUAAGCAAUGGGUCUCAGCUAGUCGGGCAAGUUGAAACCUCUGCCCGCUAUGCCCCUACCCCCAGGAAAAUAAGCACCAAAACUCCCUCCAGCUUCUUGAAACUGAACAGAUCUCACAAAUGCCGAAUCUAGAAAAGCGUCAUUAUUCCAGACUAAGGCUCUUCCUAUAAAAUCAAUUGAGAAUGCCUACCAUUUGUUAGAACUCCGGAGGACUUGGUGUUUUUUUGCUUCGACCUGAUGCGUUACUCAUGAAACCGGAGGACCUUCACUUGCGAUUUGGCAAGUCACCGAUGGCAGCUGGUGUGAAAUUAUCAAAUCUUCAGGGUGUAGUACAACCACUGCACUUGGCCGGCACUGUCACUGGAACGUGUUGACCAUUCGCGCUCGGGUUAAAACUCUGCGAAAUGAUUCUACUGAAUCAGAAUGACACAAUAUGCAAGGCCGAUAAAAUGUGCUCUUUGAUUUUGAACCAGUCCGGUCAAAGGUGGAGUUGGGGCUCUGCUCCUGAGGUCCCAGGGCCUGAGAUUUCCAGUCACUGCCAUUCAAUGACCCCUCGAAGGUCAUUAACGCAGCGCCCUACUGGCCUACCUGAGGGUCCCGUAAUCACUGUAACUUUGGUUUAUGUUGUCGGCAGCCCCGCAGGGCCCCCCAGGCAGUGAUGGAAACCUUGUUAGCAGUGGCAGCUCACCAGUCUGAUGGUAGGGUGGGCACCGUGUCCCCUCCUUGCCCAACACCACCCUCACUCGCCCUGUGCUCAGUCCCUUCAUUAGCAUCCCCUGACUUCUGCUUCUUUCCCAGUCCUGUCUUUCCUUCCCUUGUAAUUUUCUCCUUUCGUUUCUUGUUCCCCUUCCCCCCUCCCCCAACCGCCGCCCUCACCUUUCAGCUCAGCCUCUGGCUCCCCCCCCACCCAAGACCUUCCCAAGUCACUCCAACCCCAGGGGGCCAGGGAGGUUCCCUCACACAGAUGUCCCCAGGCCCGUGCAUGUGGUGGCAUGUGGAGGGCUGCCCAGAGUUCGUAUGUCCCUGGCCUUUGUAGAAAUCUGGCUGCUGGUUUGAUGUGAAGCAGUUAGCGCUUGUCUCCUGGGCUGCCGCGCAUGCUUGAGAACAACAGCUUUGUUCUCUGCCACUUCUGGGUCCUGGGAGGAGGGCAGGCAUGGGUGUGUUUCCAGGCAUGGCCGAGCUUCCCUGGCUCUCGGGCUAGAGCUCCCCUUGGGCCAUUAGGAGAGGCUCACACCGCAGUGAUCAGGAAGUCUUGUCCUUAAGGCCGAGCUGCUGCUCUGUUUUUCAGGCACGUACAAUGUCUCCACCCCAGAAACAACCAGCUCAUCCCUGGAAAACACAUCCAGUGCUUACUCGUUGCUCAACUAACAACAGGAAAAUCCACCCAUACGACUUCCUAAAGGACAGUGGAUGCGCUCUGAAAAAAGUCCUUCCAAAGCCACGGGUGAACUGUUUUCUCCACAGGCUUCCUGGAGCGGAUGCUGAAGAGACUGUUUCAUUAGGGGAAGAAGCUUUCUUUCAUAAGAACGGACUCAAAGUCAUUGUUAAGUUUAUUUGCUGCCCCACCCCCACCUCUUGUGUGAUACUAAAUGUGUAUAGUAUUUAAGUGAAACUCAAGUCCCCCGAGGCCCAAUUUCCCUGUCUGUAUUGUAAAAUAGAAUUUCAAAGAGGCAUUGUUCCUUUUCACACGUUGGACACAAAAAUAAGCUUUCCUAGGUACAAGGCUAAUACCUAGGAACUACUUCAGUGAAUUCUAAGAAGGAAGGAAGGAGGGAAGGAAGGAAGGAAGGAAGGAAGGAAGGAAGGAAGGAAGGAAGGAAGGAAGGAAACAGGAAAAAAAAAGAUAGAGAAAAACAUUAAAAACUACAUUACUUCCAUGUGAAUGUAAUUAUUCAGACACUGCCACAUGGAGAAUACAAAAAUGGCUCAAAACGGAAACUGAAAUAAGCCAGGGGGAAAGUCUGGUAUCUUCCUGAUAUUUUCUUAGCUACGAGAGAGGGACAGAGAGAGAGAAAAAAAAAAAAAGGACAGUGGGAAAAGACAGGGAGGAAAUUGUAACAUGAAGAUGCUUUCAAGUGGAUAAUAAUAUUUAUAAGAAAUGCGUGGAAGGAGAUGUAAUUCUCCUGAUGCUAAACACACACACAGAUGCUAUUAGUUCGUGCUAAGGUUUGAGCUCAGUGGACCGAGUAGGCAGAGGAAGCGUGAUUGAGGCUCUUUAUUAGAUCCCAGCAGACCCAACGGCUAAUUGCAUCUUCUAAAGUUUAUCGGGAGAAGCCUUACGUGUUGGUUUAUUCCACUUUUUUGAAGGCCAAAAAUAUAUUUUUUUAUAUCCAUCACUUGCCAAAUGUGAUAUAAUGUGAUAUAAGUGUGAUAUAUUGCACUGAAAACAGAUCCCACCUGUCAUAUACUGUAUUUAACAGCUUUAACCAGGUACUUCUCUGGGCACAAUAGAGUAGAUUUUAAUAAUCAUAUGGCACGGUUUAUUGUUCCUGUUGUUGCUACCGUGGAUUUCGUGGCCCUUGGUGUGUUGUGUAGCUCCCUAUGCAUUAGCUCUCUAAGUGCUUGAGUUCCGAGACCAAUAUACGUUAAGAGUUUUGCAUUGUCUAACUUGUGUUUAUUCCGACCACUUGGCAAUCUUCUGGAAAGAAAUUUUACAGCUGGCUCAGUCUACGCUCCUAAUGACCCUUUACCUCAGUGAGCAGAUGGUGGGGCUUUUCCCAAGGAGGUGACUGUUUAUGAAUUAGGUGCAGGUGUGUGUGUUUCUCGUGCUGUGUGCAUUUCAUAAAAAUACAACUAUUAUUAAAAUCGC
This 6118-nucleotide long non-coding RNA is filed under the name Lynx pardinus (Iberian lynx). The record is from RNAcentral. Lineage: Eukaryota; Metazoa; Chordata; Mammalia; Carnivora; Felidae.